Molecule: transfer-messenger RNA, 406 nt
Filed under: Anaerolineales
Lineage: Bacteria; Bacillati; Chloroflexota; Anaerolineae
Also listed under: 1 other name
Description: JABWBV01 sp013359445 Standard tmRNA
Rfam family: transfer-messenger RNA
About the family: Bacterial tmRNA, also known as 10Sa RNA or SsrA, is named for its dual tRNA and mRNA-like properties. Its role is to liberate the mRNA from a stalled ribosome.
Source: RNAcentral
GGGGAUGACAGGCUUCGACGGGAGAGGGUGUUCCCGGAUGGCGAGCCAAGAGGCACCGACCUUGUAAAAUCAGUGCAAACAAUUAAGUGCCAAUCGCACUCCUUCCUACUCUGCUCUCCCCCUCGCCGCCUAAUCGGUAGCGUAAGGUAGCAGAAUGGCCUCGUAAGAGACCACGUUCGUCCACCACCGUUCACUGGCCGGGGGUGGACGGGCGAACCAAAUGUCAGUGUGCCACACGAAGACGCCGCUAACCGUGUGAAAGAGGAACUUUCGGGUUCCAGCGGCUUGCUCGGAGAACCUUUGGUCUGCUGUAGGUCUCCGCGUUAAAAUAAACACCGGACUAGGCUCGUAGAAAUUCGAGGGACGAAUCUUUCGGACUCGGGUUCAAUUCCCGACAUCUCCACCU